This 443-nucleotide ribosomal RNA is filed under the name uncultured bacterium. Its description in RNAcentral is "partial 16S ribosomal RNA". It matches the Rfam family "Bacterial small subunit ribosomal RNA", at positions 338 to 795 of the family's 1533-position model. The record is from RNAcentral.
CCUACGGGAGGCAGCAGUGGGGGAUAUUGGACAAUGGGGGGAACCCUGAUCCAGCGACGCCGCGUGAGUGAAGAAGUAUUUCGGUAUGUAACGCUUUGUUAGCCGGGAAGAAAUAAAUGACGGUACCUGACUAAGAAGCCCCGGCUAACUACGUGCCAACAGCUCCGGUCAUACGAAGGUGGCAAGCGUUAUCCGGACUUCAUGGGUGGAAAGGGAGCGUAGACGGUUAAGUAAGUCUGGAGUGAAAGGCCGGGGGCCAACCCCGGUACUGAGCUGGAAACUUUUGAACUUGAGUGCAGGAGAGGUAAGCGGAAGUCCUGGUGUAGCGGUGAAAUGCGUAGAUAUUAGGAGGAACACCAGUGGCGAAGGCAGCUUACUGGAGUGUAACUGACGUUGAGGCUCGAAAGCGUGGGGAGCGAACAGGAUUAGAUACCCUUGUAGUC